This 206-nucleotide ribosomal RNA is filed under the name uncultured bacterium. RNAcentral describes it as "partial 16S ribosomal RNA". It matches the Rfam family "Bacterial small subunit ribosomal RNA", at positions 568 to 773 of the family's 1533-position model. The record is from RNAcentral.
CACGUAGGCGGAUUGCUAAGUCAGGGGUGAAAUCCUGGAGCUCAACUCCAGAACUGCCUUUGAUACUGGCGACCUUGAGUCCGGGAGAGGUGAGUGGAACUGCGAGUGUAGAGGUGAAAUUCGUAGAUAUUCGCAAGAACACCAGUGGCGAAGGCGGCUCACUGGCCCGGUACUGACGCUGAGGUGCGAAAGCGUGGGGAGCAACA